Molecule: transfer RNA, 92 nt
Filed under: Rhizobium leguminosarum
Lineage: Bacteria; Pseudomonadati; Pseudomonadota; Alphaproteobacteria; Hyphomicrobiales; Rhizobiaceae
Also listed under: 10 other names
Description: tRNA-Ser
Rfam family: tRNA
About the family: Transfer RNA (tRNA) molecules are approximately 80 nucleotides in length. Their secondary structure includes four short double-helical elements and three loops (D, anti-codon, and T loops).
Source: RNAcentral
GGAGAGGUGGCCGAGUUGGUCGAAGGCGCUCCCCUGCUAAGGGAGUAUACGUCAAAAGCGUAUCGUGGGUUCGAAUCCCAUCUUCUCCGCCA